ACACGACUACAUUAGAUACCCCGGUAGUCCUAGCCGUAAACGAUACUCGCUAGGUGUCGGCCACGGUGCGACCGUUGUCGGUGCCGUAGGGAAGCCGUGAAGCGAGCCACCGGGGAAGUACGGCCGCAAGGCUGAAACUUAAAGGAAUUGGCGGGGGAGCACCACAACGGGUGGAGCUUGCGGUUUAAUUGGAUUCAACGCCGGAAAUCUUACCGGGACCGACAGCAACAUGAAGGCCAGGCUGAAGACUUUGCCGGAUUAGCUG
This 265-nucleotide ribosomal RNA is filed under the name uncultured archaeon. RNAcentral's name for it is "partial 16S ribosomal RNA". It matches the Rfam family "Archaeal small subunit ribosomal RNA", at positions 717 to 982 of the family's 1478-position model. The record is from RNAcentral.